Molecule: ribosomal RNA, 79 nt
Filed under: Hookerochloa hookeriana
Lineage: Eukaryota; Viridiplantae; Streptophyta; Magnoliopsida; Poales; Poaceae
Description: partial 26S ribosomal RNA
Rfam family: Eukaryotic large subunit ribosomal RNA
Source: RNAcentral
GCGACCCCAGGUCAGGCGGGACUACCCGCUGAGUUUAAGCAUAUAAAUAAGCGGAGGAGAAGAAACUAACAAGGAUUCC